Molecule: long non-coding RNA, 1420 nt
Organism: Salvelinus sp. IW2-2015
Lineage: Eukaryota; Metazoa; Chordata; Actinopteri; Salmoniformes; Salmonidae
Source: RefSeq, a predicted model, not a curated record
CUCCUAGCAACAGGAAACAUCUGCUUCGGCGAAGACCAAUGAGGUUGUAGAGAGAAUGGUGUUGUUGCUUGUUGCACAGAAAAGGAUAUUUUAAGACCCUAGGAGUGUUUCGUACUCUGAAGGGAUUAUUUAAACGAAGAUACGGUGACUGGGUGUGAAGCGCAAACUUAAGGCAGAGCUUGGAGCCAGAGCUUGGAGCGGGAUAAUUGGCACAGACGGUAAAUGUCGCAGCAACGGACGGUCACACAUUGGACAGACACAUCCAGAAGAACGCAUUACCUCAAAGGCUGCCUACAUAUAAAAGGACUGCUGAUUUGCUGAAGUGCUUUAUGAAUUGUUGGAGAUCGCCAUCAUAAGGCCCCUGAAGGCAAUGUGUGAGGCUCAGAGAGCAUCCCAAGCAAUCAGGACCCCAGUCAGACAACUCAUUUGUGGCUCUGGGCUGUCAUCAGAAGUCGAUUCCCUUGAAUAGAGAUCAAACCAUUCAACAACGUCGAAAGUUGCCUACUUCAAGAGGAAGUAUGCGGAAGAGGAGGAUUUACAUGGCGACCUACAUGGAUAUUUUCAAAAACACCUGAUACGCCAGGAGGACCGCAGCUGCAUCCUCAAGCUCUCCUUGGAGAAGCUGAGAUUCCUGGAGGACCCUGAAGCGUACCUGCGACGCUCUGUGCUCAUCAACAACCUUCUGAGGAAGAUCCACCAUGAGGAGAAGGAGGUGGAGGAGGAAGAGGAGAGGCAGGGGACCUGUGACAGGGGCUCAGGCGGGCAGCGGCUGCUCUACCCAGAAAGGAAACGUGUGAAGGUGGUGGUGGCAGACUGCUGCUCUCAGUCCUUUGGGUUGGAGGAGAUACCCCACUACCACCUGGUUCCCUACCCCUCCCCCACAUGCCUCUAUGGCCUGGGCACAUGUCCCAGCAUCUCCCCUGGCCACGGGGCUCAAGUCCUGCUCUACAAACUGGAUGAUAAUGGGUGACUGUGACUUGCUGCCAAAGUACGGGAAGAAAUUGAUAUGGACCAUGCACAUCGAAGUAAUUGGCAGGGAGUGGUUCGGUGACAGAACCCCCUAUUCACUCAGAGCUGCAUUCUGUAUCCUGCAGUCUGACGUUAUCUACAUCCAAAAGGGAGGCUACGGCUUCUCCUGUGUGAUUUUUGACUAGGUCAACAGAGCAAGAGUCCAAAUCAGGGUCUGUCUUCUAAGGGCAUCUUUAUUACAGCGUCACUGCCUUUACAAGCUGAUGUGAGAGUCAGAAAUUCCUUGCAGGAAUUUGUUUUAAUGGUCUUUGCACAUGUGAACCUUAAGGGAUACAUAUAGUACAACUCAUGCACCCCGCCACUACACUACUCUCUAAGAAAAAAAGGUGCUAUCUAGAACCUUACAUGGUUCUUCAGCUGUCCCCAUAGGAGAACCCUUUGAAAUAUUUUU